GUGUCUGUAGCUCAGUCAAUAAAGUGCUUGUUUUCUAAGCAGAAAGUCAUCGGUUCGAACCCUGUCUAGUGUG
This 73-nucleotide transfer RNA is filed under the name Salix viminalis (osier). The record is from RNAcentral. Lineage: Eukaryota; Viridiplantae; Streptophyta; Magnoliopsida; Malpighiales; Salicaceae.